ACAAAGAAUUUCUUAACACAAAACUGGAAACAAAAAUUCAGCUACAUCAAAAUAAUAAAACUGGUGUUUCUCCAAAGAUAUCAAGAUAUCAAGAGAGUGAAAACAGACGAGAAAAACUGGAGGAAGAUUCUCACUACACAUAUAGGGGACUCAGGGUUAGUAGUAUCCAGACAUAUGAGCUCCUUUGAAUCAAUAAGAAAAAGAUUUUAAAAAUUCUAAUAUAAAAAUGGACAAAUCUGAAGAGCCCUACACAGAAGAACACAUCUAGGUGGUGAGUAAACAUAUGAAAAUCUGCUCAACCUCAUCAGUUCUAGAGAAAUAUGAUGUUUUAUACACACCCAGAUUGGCAAAAAUUAAAAAGUCUGACGACAACAAGGUUGGUGAGAAUUUGUAAUGAUGGUAACUAUCAAACACUGUUAGAUGGCAAUCCGGAACUAUCCAGUAAGGCUGAACGUGACGCAUCAACUCUACCAUCCAGGGAUGGUAAGGUGUGUGGUAAGCAGACUUCUGAGAUGGCUCCCAACGAUCUCCACUUCCUGGUUUUCAUGUCCACGCAUCAUUCCCUCCUCUUAAGGGUGGGCUGCACCUAGUGACUUGCUUCUAACUAACAGAAUACAGCAAAAGGGAGGGGAUGCCACCUCUGAGAUUUGGUUUCAAAAGCCUGACUUCUGCCUAGCUCUCAUUCUCUCUUUCUCUUCUUGCUUACUUGCAAGCAGCAAGUUGCUGAAGCAAGCUGUACCUAUGGAGAGACCCACAGGGCAAGGAACUAAGGGCUCCAGCCAACAACUAGAGAGGAACUGAGGCCUUCAGUGCAACAGCCCAGGAGGAACUGACACUUGCCAACAAUCAAGUGCAUGAACUUGGAAGCGGAUUCUUCCCCAGAAGAUGACUGCACCUCCUGCUGACAUGCUGAUAGCAGCCGUGUGAAAGCCCAGAACCAGAGGUCCCAGCUAAGCCACAUCCGGAUUCCUGACCCACAGAAACUGUGAGAUAGUAAAUGUACGUUGUUUUAAGCUGUUUAAUCUGGGGGUAAUUUUUUAUGCUGCAGAUAACUAAUACAUCUAAGUGUAAUUCCUAGCGCAAAGCUUCCCAGCAGGAGAACCAAGACACACUGGUAUGCGGAAUAUGGAUUACCGACGAGCCCAGGAGAUUGGUCCUUCAACCCCUGGGGCUGCCAGGAGCAGGGCUCAUCGCAUCCUUCUUUCUUUCCACUUGAUUUGCCCAAAGUGAGGAUGAUGGCAGUAACGAUGCCAGUGACAGUUUGCGAGCUGUACGUGGUCCAUCACUAGAGCAUCUCCAGCCAGUCCAGUCAUCUCCCAGCAUUAUUCUGUCCAAUCAGCUGGAAGAGGAUCUCAAUCUAAUGCUGUAUGGUCCAGCUGACUAUCAGAGCAUCCAGCAUUGCAUCAGCAACAAGGGUUAGGUGGGGUGGAUAAGGGAGGGGAUGGGAGCUGAGGGGGCAAUGUAGCUGACUGCCUUGAACAAGUCUCUCUUUCUGUAGACCUGCUUUUACUCUUUCUCCAGGAUGCAGUAAAAAAUAGCUAAUUAAAUUAUUUUUCUUGGGGACAAGGAUUGUGUCUUCAUUGGUAUCAUUCAUUGCCUGAACGUGUUAAAAAUGGUUACUUUCUGUUCUUUUAAAUUUUAAAAUAAACUUUAAAUGUCAAUAUCUUCAAAAUAAAGGCAGUAAGCAC
Molecule: long non-coding RNA, 1688 nt
Filed under: Equus caballus (horse)
Lineage: Eukaryota; Metazoa; Chordata; Mammalia; Perissodactyla; Equidae
Description: lncRNA (ENSECAG00000047951.1)
Source: RNAcentral